RNAcentral lists this ribosomal RNA (367 nucleotides) under uncultured Prevotellaceae bacterium. Its description in RNAcentral is "partial 16S ribosomal RNA". It matches the Rfam family "Bacterial small subunit ribosomal RNA", at positions 392 to 758 of the family's 1533-position model. The record is from RNAcentral. Lineage: Bacteria; Pseudomonadati; Bacteroidota; Bacteroidia; Bacteroidales; Prevotellaceae.
CCAAGUAGCGUGCAGGYCGCCGGCCCUAUGGGGUUGAAKYUGCUUUUUAAAAGGGUGUAAUAUCCACGUGUGGAUAUUUGCAUGUACCYUAUGAAUAAGGACCGSCAAAUUCCGUGCCAGCAGCCKCGGUAAUACGGAAGGUCCGGGCGUUAUCCGGAUUUAUYGGGUUUAAAGGGAGCGUAGKCGGUAUAUUAAGCGUGUUGUGAAAUGUAGGUGCUCAACAUMUGACUYGCAGCGCGAAYUGGUUUACUUGAGUACGCCCAACGUAGGCGGAAUUCGUCGUGUAGCGGUGAAAUGCAUAGAUAUGMCGAAGAACUCCGAUUGCGAAGGCAGCWUACGGGAGCGCAWCUGACKCWGAAGCUCGAAA